This 468-nucleotide ribosomal RNA is filed under the name uncultured bacterium. RNAcentral's name for it is "partial 16S ribosomal RNA". It matches the Rfam family "Bacterial small subunit ribosomal RNA", at positions 28 to 507 of the family's 1533-position model. The record is from RNAcentral.
GACGAACGCUGGCGGCGGGCUUAACACAUGCAAGUCGAACGGAAAGGCCCUGCUUUUGUGGGGUGCUCGAGUGGCGAACGGGGGAGUAACACGUGAGUAACCGGCCCAUGACUUGGGGAUAACUUCAGGAAACUGGGGCGAAUACCGGAGAGGAGCUCCUGCUGCAUGGGGGGGGUUGGAAAGUUUCGGCGGUUGGGGAUGGACUCGCGGCUUAUCAGCUUGUGGGUGGGGUAGUGGCUUACCAAGGCUUUGACGGGUAGCCGGCCUGGGAGGGUGGCCGGCCACGUUGGGUCUGGGAUGCGGCCCAGCCUCCUCCGGGAGGCAGCGGUGGAGAAUAUUGCACUGUGGGCGGAACCCUGGUGCAGCACCGCCGCGUGCGGGAUGUCGGCCUUCGGGUUGUAUACCGCUUUCGCCUGUGGCGAAGCGUGAGUGACGGUACUGGGUAAAGAAGCCCCGGCUAACUACGUG